AACGGCCAUACCAUGCUGAAUAUACAGGUUCUCGUUUAGAUCACCGAAGUCAAGCAUCAUUGGGCGCGGUCAGUACUUGGGUGGGUACCGCCUGGGAACACCGCGUGCCGUAG
RNAcentral lists this ribosomal RNA (113 nucleotides) under Caerostris darwini. The record is from RNAcentral. Lineage: Eukaryota; Metazoa; Arthropoda; Arachnida; Araneae; Araneidae.